CCUACGGGGGGCAGCAGUGAGGAAUAUUGGUCAAUGGCCGCAGGGCUGAACCAGCCAAGUCGCGUGAGGGAUGACGGUCCUAUGGAUUGUAAACCUCUUUUGUCAGGGAGCAAAGGGCGCCACGUGUGGCGCUUUGCGAGUACCUGAAGAACAAGCAUCGGCUAACUCCGUGCCAGCAGCCGCGGUAAUACGGAGGAUGCGAGCGUUAUCCGGAUUUAUUGGGUUUAAAGGGUGCGCAGGCGGAAUGUCAAGUCAGCGGUAAAAUUUCGGGGCUCAACCCCGUCGUGCCGUUGAAACUGGCGUUCUUGAGUGAGCGAGAAGUAUGCGGAAUGCGUGGUGUAGCGGUGAAAUGCAUAGAUAUCACGCAGAACUCCGAUUGCGAAGGCAGCAUACCGGCGCUCAACUGACGCUCAUGCACGAAAGCGUGGGUAUCGAACAGGAUUAGAUACCCCAGUAGUC
This 459-nucleotide ribosomal RNA is filed under the name uncultured bacterium. RNAcentral describes it as "partial 16S ribosomal RNA". It matches the Rfam family "Bacterial small subunit ribosomal RNA", at positions 338 to 795 of the family's 1533-position model. The record is from RNAcentral.